Molecule: non-coding RNA, 31 nt
Filed under: Rattus norvegicus (Norway rat)
Lineage: Eukaryota; Metazoa; Chordata; Mammalia; Rodentia; Muridae
Source: RNAcentral
AAGGGCACCCAAAUAUCAACUUGGUUGUUUU